RNAcentral lists this ribosomal RNA (558 nucleotides) under uncultured bacterium. Its description in RNAcentral is "bacterial SSU rRNA". It matches the Rfam family "Bacterial small subunit ribosomal RNA", at positions 124 to 680 of the family's 1533-position model. The record is from RNAcentral.
AUCUACCUUUCACAGAGGGAUAGCCCAGAGAAAUUUGGAUUAAUACCUCAUAGUAUAGUACCUUGGCAUCAAGGAACUAUUAAAGAUUUAUCGGUGAAAGAUGAGCAUGCGUCCCAUUAGCUAGAUGGUAAGGUAACGGCUUACCAUGGCUACGAUGGGUAGGGGUCCUGAGAGGGAGAUCCCCCACACUGGUACUGAGACACGGACCAGACUCCUACGGGAGGCAGCAGUGAGGAAUAUUGGUCAAUGGGCGCAAGCCUGAUCCAGCCAUGCCGCGUGCAGGAAGAAGGUCCUAUGGAUUGUAAACUGCUUUUAUACAGGAAGAAACACCUCUACGUGUAGAGACUUGACGGUACUGUAUGAAUAAGGACCGGCUAACUCCGUGCCAGCAGCCGCGGUAAUACGGAGGGUCCAAGCGUUAUCCGGAAUCAUUGGGUUUAAAGGGUCCGUAGGCGGCCAAAUAAGUCAGUGGUGAAAGCCCAUCGCUCAACGAUGGAACGGCCAUUGAUACUGUUUGGCUUGAAUUAUUAGGAAGUAACUAGAAUAUGUAGUGUAGCG